Molecule: long non-coding RNA, 885 nt
Organism: Tachysurus fulvidraco (yellow catfish)
Lineage: Eukaryota; Metazoa; Chordata; Actinopteri; Siluriformes; Bagridae
Exons: 3
Source: RefSeq, a predicted model, not a curated record
AGCGAAGUAAAGUACAGAUACGUGACAUUUCUACUUAAGUACAGUAACGAAGUAUUUUUACUUCGUUACAUUACAACACUGCUUGUGUGUAUGUCAUGUUCAGUUCAACACUUCUGUACAAAUAUAAUACCACAUCUCAAAAUUACUACAUUAAUUCAUCAAUUAAUACAAUAAAACACACGCAAUAAACUCAAUUUUAAUAAUCUUGAUUUCUUAUCCAAAAUAUAAACUUAUACCUAAUGAUUUACAGUAUUAACGACACAUUACAGCUGUGUGCGUGACCUCAGAAUGUGAACGUGGCGUGAAGUUAACAGAACAGAAAGACUUGGCUUUAUUAUCUAGUAGAUAAGAUCAGAGAUGAGGCAUGUGUUAAUGAAGUCAUGUGCUACUGAAUAAAAGAGGAAUUACUGCAUGAAACACUUUGUCAUGUUAAAUAUAGUGGCAGCAUCGUUGUUAUUAAUGUCAUGGCCUGAAUUUCUCUUUACAUAUCAACACCUUAAAUGACUGAAAUGUUUUUGUCUUUCUUCUUGUAGACCUCAUUCUAUUGAUCCUGAGCUCAGUUUGUCUGAUUCUCAUUGUACUAGCUGUCUUAGUGUUUUGUGUCUACAAGAAGAGACAAGGCCAAAGGAUCGAAGCCCCUUCUCAGGACAGCAUGCAGCUUGUGUACGCGGAGGUCACCCACUCAGCCAGGAACAGGACAGACACAAGACCCAGCACGUCCCCAGCGCAGAACGAGGGUGUGGAGUACGGCACGGUGGUCACAUCCAAUCAGAAGAAGAAAGAGGAUGAUGUGCAGUACGGAGAGCUGGUGUUUAACACUCCUGCACAAAAAAAGUGCAAGGUGCCCAAAGUACAAGAAUAUUGUGUGUACUCAGAGGUCAAGCG